GCGGCGGACGGGUGAGUAACACGUGGGCAACCUGCCUGUAAGACUGGGAUAACUUCGGGAAACCGGAGCUAAUACCGGAUAAUCCUUUCCCUCACAUGAGGGAAAGCUGAAAGACGGUUUCGGCUGUCACUUACAGAUGGGCCCGCGGCGCAUUAGCUAGUUGGUGAGGUAACGGCUCACCAAGGCGACGAUGCGUAGCCCACCUGAGAGGGUGAUCGGCCACACUGGGACUGAGACACGGCCCAGACUCCUACGGGAGGCAGCAGUAGGGAAUCUUCCGCAAUGGACGAAAGUCUGACGGAGCAACGCCGCGUGAGCGAUGAAGGCCUUCGGGUCGUAAAGCUCUGUUGUCAGGGAAGAACAAGUAUCGGAGUAACUGCCGGUACCUUGACGGUACCUGACCAGAAAGCCACGGCUAACUACGUGCCAGCAGCCGCGGUAAUACGUAGGUGGCAAGCGUUGUCCGGAAUUAUUGGGCGUAAAGCGCGCGCAGGCGGUUCCUUAAGUCUGAUGUGAAAGCCCCCGGCUCAACCGGGGAGGGUCAUUGGAAACUGGGGAACUUGAGUGCAGAAGAGGAGAGCGGAAUUCCACGUGUAGCGGUGAAAUGCGUAGAGAUGUGGAGGAACACCAGUGGCGAAGGCGGCUCUCUGGUCUGUAACUGACGCUGAGGCGCGAAAGCGUGGGGAGCGAACAGGAUUAGAUACCCUGGUAGUCCACGCCGUAAACGAUGAGUGCUAAGUGUUUAGAGGGUUUCCGCCCUUUAGUGCUGCAGCAAACGCAUUAAGCACUCCGCCUGGGGGAGUACGGCCGCAAGGCUGAAACUCAAAGGAAUUUGACGGGGGCCCGCACAAGCGGUGGAACCAUGGGGGUUUAAUUCGAAGCAACGCGAAGAACCUUUACCAGGUCUUGACAUCCUCUGACAACCCUAGAAAAUAGGGCUUUCCCCUUCGGGGGACAAAGUGACAGGGGGUGGCCUGGGUUGUCGUCCAC
Molecule: ribosomal RNA, 990 nt
Filed under: Mesobacillus subterraneus
Lineage: Bacteria; Bacillati; Bacillota; Bacilli; Caryophanales; Bacillaceae
Description: bacterial SSU rRNA
Rfam family: Bacterial small subunit ribosomal RNA
Source: RNAcentral